ACGCUCGACACUACGGAGGGCAGCAGUGGGGAAUAUUGCACAAUGGGGGAAACCCUGAUGCAGCGACGCCGCGUGGAGGAAGAAGGUCUUCGGAUUGUAAACUCCUGUUGUUGGGGAAAAAGAGGAUGGUACCCAACAAGGAAGUGACGGCUAACUACGUGCUAGCAGCCGCGGUAAUCUGAGCGGGCUGGCAAGGC
This 197-nucleotide ribosomal RNA is filed under the name uncultured bacterium. Its description in RNAcentral is "partial 16S ribosomal RNA". It matches the Rfam family "Bacterial small subunit ribosomal RNA", at positions 326 to 539 of the family's 1533-position model. The record is from RNAcentral.